UACGUAGGGACCAAGCGUUGUUCGGAUUUACUGGGCGUAAAGGGCGCGUAGGCGGCAUGACAAGUCACUUGUGAAAUCUCUGGGCUUAACCCAGAACGGCCAAGUGAUACUGUCGCGCUAGAGUGCGGAAGGGGCAAUCGGAAUUCUCGGUGUAGCGGUGAAAUGCGUAGAUAUCGAGAGGGAACACCUGAGGUGAAGACGGGGUUGCUGGGCCGACACUGACGCUGAGUGCGCGAAAGCCAGGGGAGCAAACGGG
This 256-nucleotide ribosomal RNA is filed under the name uncultured bacterium. RNAcentral's name for it is "partial 16S ribosomal RNA". It matches the Rfam family "Bacterial small subunit ribosomal RNA", at positions 524 to 776 of the family's 1533-position model. The record is from RNAcentral.